Molecule: unclassified non-coding RNA, 395 nt
Filed under: uncultured fungus
Lineage: Eukaryota; Fungi
Description: partial internal transcribed spacer 1
Source: RNAcentral
UCCUGGCGCAGCUUGGAGAACCUGACAUGCGUACGCCUAUUGCGCAUACGAUGGCAUGGCCGAAUCGCGUCACGUCCGGCGCGCAGCCGCUUGAUUUUUGCAAACUCAGCGCGCUGACGUUUAGCGCGCCAGAUUAUCAGCGUUAUCCGUGCCUGAAGCUGGCGAUGGAGGCGUUUGAGCAAGGUCAGGCGGCAACGACGGCGCUCAAUGCGGCAAACGAAAUCACCGUUGCCGCGUUUCUGGCGCAACAGAUUCGUUUUACCGAUAUCGCCGGGCUCAAUUUAGCGGUGCUGGAGAGGAUGGAUUUACAGGAACCGGCAAGCGUUGAGGACGUAUUGCAGGUUGACGCCAUCGCGCGUGAAGUAGCCAGAAAACAAGUGAUACGGCUCUCACGC